CGGCGUGCUUAACACAUGCAAGUCGAACGGAAAGGCCCUGCUUUUGUGGGGUGCUCGAGUGGCGAACGGGUGAGUAACACGUGAGUAACCUGCCCUUGACUUUGGGAUAACUUCAGGAAACUGGGGCUAAUACCGGAUAGGAGCUCCUGCUGCAUGGUGGGGGUUGGAAAGUUUCGGCGGUUGGGGAUGGACUCGCGGCUUAUCAGCUUGUUGGUGGGGUAGUGGCUUACCAAGGCUUUGACGGGUAGCCGGCCUGAGAGGGUGACCGGCCACAUUGGGACUGAGAUACGGCCCAGACUCCUACGGGAGGCAGCAGUGGGGAAUAUUGCACAAUGGGCGGAAGCCUGAUGCAGCAACGCCGCGUGCGGGAUGACGGCCUUCGGGUUGUAAACCGCUUUCGCCUGUGACGAAGCGUGAGUGACGGUAAUGGGUAAAGAAGCACCGGCUAACUACGUGCCAGCAGCCGCGGUGAUACGUAGGGUGCGAGCGUUGUCCGGAUUUAUUGGGCGUAAAGGGCUCGUAGGUGGUUGAUCGCGUCGGAAGUGUAAUCUUGGGGCUUAACCCUGAGCGUGCUUUCGAUACGGGUUGACUUGAGGAAGGUAGGGGAGAAUGGAAUUCCUGGUGGAGCGGUGGAAUGCGCAGAUAUCAGGAGGAACACCAGUGGCGAAGGCGGUUCUCUGGGCCUUUCCUGACGCUGAGGAGCGAAAGCGUGGGGAGCGAACAGGCUUAGAUACCCUGGUAGUCCACGCUGUAAACGGUGGGUACUAGGUGUGGGGUCCAUUCCACGGGUUCCGUGCCGUAGCUAACGCUUUAAGUACCCCGCCUGGGGAGUACGGCCGCAAGGCUAAAACUCAAAGGAAUUGACGGGGCCCCGCACAAGCGGCGGAGCAUGCGGAUUAAUUCGAUGCAACGCGUAGAACCUUACCUGGGUUUGACAUGGAUCGGGAGUGCUCAGAGAUGGGUGUGCCUCUUUUGGGGUCGGUUCACAGGUGGUGCAUGGCUGUCGUCAGCUCGUGUCGUGAGAUGUUGGGUUAAGUCCCGCAACGAGCGCAACCCUUGUUCACUGUUGCCAGCACGUUAUGGUGGGGACUCAGUGGAGACCGCCGGGGUCAACUCGGAGGAAGGUGGGGAUGACGUCAAGUCAUCAUGCCCCUUAUGUCCAGGGCUUCACGCAUGCUACAAUGGCUGGUACAGAGAGUGGCGAGCCUGUGAGGGUGAGCGAAUCUCGGAAAGCCGGUCUCAGUUCGGAUUGGGGUCUGCAACUCGACCUCAUGAAGUCGGAGUCGCUAGUAAUCGCAGAUCAGCAACGCUGCGGUGAAUACGUUCCCGGGGCUUGUACACACCGCCCGUCAAGUCAUGAAAGUUGGUAACACCCGAAGCCGGUGGCCUAACCGAAGUGGGGGAGCCGUCGAAGGUGGGACUGGUGAUU
This 1429-nucleotide ribosomal RNA is filed under the name uncultured organism. RNAcentral's name for it is "16S ribosomal RNA". It matches the Rfam family "Bacterial small subunit ribosomal RNA". The record is from RNAcentral.